GCGAAAUGCGAUAAGUAAUGUGAAUUGCAGAAUUCAGUGAAUCAUCGAAUCUUUGAACGCACCUUGCGCCCUUUGGCCAUUCCGAAGGGCAUGCCUGUUUGAGUAUCAUGAACACCUCAACUCCUCAUGGUCUUCUAUGAUGAGCUUGGACUUUGGGGGUUUGCUGGCCCAUUUGGUCAGCUCCUCUCAAAUGAAUCAGCCUACCAGUGUUUGGUGGCACCACAGGUGUGAUAACAAUCUACGCUUGGGGUUUUCCACCGGGCAACCUUCAGUGAUGGGGGUUCACUGGGGCUCACAAAUGUCUUUCUUCAGUGAGGACAGCUCUUUGAAUGUUUGAUCUCAAAUCAGGUAGGACUACCCGCUGAACUUAAGCAUAUCAAUAAGCGGAGGAAAAGAAACU
RNAcentral lists this ribosomal RNA (400 nucleotides) under uncultured fungus. RNAcentral's name for it is "eukaryotic LSU rRNA". The stretch from base 1 to 108 matches the Rfam family "5.8S ribosomal RNA", at positions 48 to 154 of the family's 154-position model. Lineage: Eukaryota; Fungi. The record is from RNAcentral.